CUACCUUCAAGCAUGGCUUGUGUGUUGAGCAUCUGUUCUUUUUAAGAACAUGCUUGAAAUGCAGUGGCGAUGGCGAGUUUGAAGCCCGAGCGUAUGGAGCACUGUCACACGCUGCGGUGGCCCGGCUCACUAUCUUCUGUCAGUUUUGUUAUUAUAACACAAAAAUCU
This 168-nucleotide unclassified non-coding RNA is filed under the name uncultured Eurotiomycetes. RNAcentral describes it as "sequence contains ITS2". Lineage: Eukaryota; Fungi; Ascomycota; Eurotiomycetes. The record is from RNAcentral.